RNAcentral lists this ribosomal RNA (726 nucleotides) under Triticum aestivum (bread wheat). RNAcentral describes it as "partial small subunit ribosomal RNA". Lineage: Eukaryota; Viridiplantae; Streptophyta; Magnoliopsida; Poales; Poaceae. The record is from RNAcentral.
AUGGCCAGGGAGAUAAAUUGGCAUGCUCGAGCACUUGUUCUAAAAAUCCUUGGCAAUUAUGUUCAAGAAUACAACCGUGUUGAUGCAACAGUGUGGCCAGACGAUAUUCCCUUUGAUGUAGCAAGUUUACCUCAUUAUAAACAUUGGUUCCAACAAAAUGGUAUGUGCACAGUAUUCUUCGAUUCUCAAUGCUUGGGCGGCCUAGAUAAACCUAUUCCAUAUCCUCGAGAUAGCAUCGAAUGGACUGGCUACAUGCCUAGUGGUCCGCCACUGGCUCAAAUUGUAAGUGUUUGUUUCAUUUUCAUUGUACUAUUUACAUCAUAUAGUAAUAAAUGUGUCAUGCAAUAUUUGUUUUGUCACUUGCAAGGGUUAUGCAAGAUAAAGAAUGCCACAUGGGGUAUUAAAUGUGCUAUUACUAGUGGAUGCAAGAAGAUAGGGAAAACUAUAUUGAGGUCUUGUGUAGGAAAUUUGUUGGAUUUGAACUUGGAGCCUGGGCUGCAAAGCAUGCUUACUGAGGCUAGGUUACCACUGUACAUUGAAGAUAUUCCAUUUGAUGAAGAGGUUUUUGAUAUUGCUAACCCACCAAGCCCCCCAAAAGAGAGCAAAUCUGAUGUGUUCAAUGAAUGGAUAUACUCCGGCAAAGGUUUUACAACAUACCUUAAGGCUGGUGAAGCGAUGAGAGAUGGGGAACCGACAACACAAGAUGUAGGUCAAGUUACCCAAUAA